AUGAAAGAUGGUUCUGCUAUCGCNUUUAGAUGGACCCGCGGCGUAUNAACUAGUUGGUGGGGUAACGGCCUACCAAGGUGAUGAUACGUAGCCGAACUGAGAGGUUGAUCGGCCACAUUGGGACUGAGACACGGCCCAAACUCCUACGGGAGGCAGCAGUAGGGAAUCUUCCACAAUGGACGCAAGUCUGAUGGAGCAACGCCGCGUGAGUGAAGAAGGUCUUCGGAUCGUAAAACUCUGUUGUUAGAGAAGAACACGAGUGAGAGUAACUGUUCAUUCGAUGAC
Molecule: ribosomal RNA, 285 nt
Filed under: uncultured bacterium
Lineage: Bacteria
Description: partial 16S ribosomal RNA
Rfam family: Bacterial small subunit ribosomal RNA
Source: RNAcentral